Molecule: transfer-messenger RNA, 352 nt
Filed under: Lachnospiraceae
Lineage: Bacteria; Bacillati; Bacillota; Clostridia; Lachnospirales
Also listed under: 1 other name
Description: CAG-791 sp900107575 Standard tmRNA
Rfam family: transfer-messenger RNA
About the family: Bacterial tmRNA, also known as 10Sa RNA or SsrA, is named for its dual tRNA and mRNA-like properties. Its role is to liberate the mRNA from a stalled ribosome. To accomplish this part of the tmRNA is used as a reading frame that ends in a translation stop signal.
Source: RNAcentral
GGGUUAGUAAAGGUUUCGACAGGGAUCUUGCAGGUGGAGAAGCUAUCCGAAGCCGAUCGUUAAACGGCAAACCUAAAUAUAAACGCUAACGAUAAUACAUUAGCUCUGGCUGCUUAAUUGCAGCCGGCGUCGCCUGCAGAGCACCUGCUCUUUGCAGAUACGGCGUCAAAUUAGCAGGAAACGACGCGGGGAGUGCUUCGUACCCGUGGGCGUAUCAGGAGCUACUUAAGGACUGAGAUUGUCUGUUCUCUCAUCCGGCGGGAACUGCCGUAAGGCGCAAGAACCGACUAUGAUAGUAGAAGUACACUGAAUGGGUUUUUGGACAGGGGUUCGACUCCCCUCUAAUCCACUA